GUUGGUGACCAUAGACGCGGGGCAACACCUGUUCCCAUCCCGAACACAGCAGUUAAGCCCGCGUCGCCGAUGAUACUGCAUUGCGGGAAAGUAGGUCGUCGCCAGCU
This 107-nucleotide ribosomal RNA is filed under the name Phycisphaerales bacterium. The record is from RNAcentral. Lineage: Bacteria; Pseudomonadati; Planctomycetota; Phycisphaerae; Phycisphaerales.